GGGGUUGUGGCUCAGUGGUAGAGUGCUCAUCUAGUAGGUGUGAGGCACUGGGUUCGAUUCUCAGCACCACA
Molecule: transfer RNA, 71 nt
Filed under: Marmota monax (woodchuck)
Lineage: Eukaryota; Metazoa; Chordata; Mammalia; Rodentia; Sciuridae
Description: tRNA.Thr
Rfam family: tRNA
About the family: Transfer RNA (tRNA) molecules are approximately 80 nucleotides in length. Their secondary structure includes four short double-helical elements and three loops (D, anti-codon, and T loops).
Source: RNAcentral